GCUAAACAGACUGCUGCCGUGCUAGCUGGCUAGGUCACUCUGUAAGUAAGUCAUUUUCCCUAUUAAAAUCCCUUGUAUUUUUACCUGGCUCUGUAUUGGUAAUUUCCUGCCAUAUCUGGUGUCAGGAGUGGGAUCUUGGCCCCAUUUGGGACGGCCUGCAGGUCCCACCGGGCCUUUGGCCUAGGCCAGGAAAGCGCCCUCUCUCCACAGGUACUCCCGGCUCCCAGCCACCAGCUGUCCCAGACAAGUGCAUUCUGGCUGCCGCUGAGCCACUUAGAACCGUCUGCCCAGCUGGGAGACUUCCACAGACCUCUUGCAGUUUCUAGCUGCAGGCACAGGACUGGCUCAGACUGUGGCCUACCCGAACCCUGAGGCCUCUGCCCUAGAACUGGGUAGGCCUCAGCUUUCAGCAACAGCUUCCCCUGGCCACUGCUGCAUAAAGUCGUAAAGCCGUGUCACUUUCACUGGUUGCAGCCACAAGGCCAUAUACUUUCUAAGAUAAGCGCAGCCGCUUUUGUGACCUCUCUCCACGGCUACCACCAUCUUGCCUGACCCACCGCUGCCAAACCCCGUGCCAAGUAGCUGAAUGCCUGCACCACCUGCUGGUCAAAGAUACUUACUGCAUCUGCAGUAGAAAUCAGGUACAAAUGAUGGACCUUCAGAGGAUCCAAAGGCCCUGCCAUUGAAGUGGCUUACAGAUGAACUUGUUUAACCUCUGAGAAGCUAGAGGCAUUGGAAAAGUUAGUACAAGAACAGCUAGAUGCUGGACAUAUAGAGGAAUCUACCAGUCCUUGGAAUUCUCCUGUAUUUGUUAUAAAAAAAAGAAGUCAGGAGAAGAAAAACUUUGGAUACCAUUAAAGUUGAUCAAGAUUCACAUUGAAAAGGAAAAACCUCUCGACGAGGACAAAUGACAGGUAUUCUACUAAGGUAUGUCUUAUAAGCUAAAUAGAAACCUCACAAAGGAAAGGGAAGUGUUUUGCUUUUAUCUUCACAGGAAAACUCAUCUCCAGAAGGCCAAGGACACUGCAUGGGUAGAUACGUAAGAAGAGAAGGUAGCUUAACCAUCAAACAAAAAGAACAUGCCAUGCAGUAAAUUUUACAGCUGUCUCUCAGAGAACUCUAUUUCUUUUUCUAGUCCCUAUUCAAUUAAAACAAUGCUGGAUUUACAGGUAGAUUUGGC
Molecule: long non-coding RNA, 1180 nt
Filed under: Cricetulus griseus (Chinese hamster)
Lineage: Eukaryota; Metazoa; Chordata; Mammalia; Rodentia; Cricetidae
Description: lncRNA (ENSCGRG00015032597.1)
Source: RNAcentral